RNAcentral lists this ribosomal RNA (435 nucleotides) under uncultured bacterium. RNAcentral describes it as "bacterial SSU rRNA". It matches the Rfam family "Bacterial small subunit ribosomal RNA", at positions 8 to 445 of the family's 1533-position model. The record is from RNAcentral.
AGAGUUUGAUCCUGGCUCAGAUUGAACGCUGGCGGCAUGCUUUACACAUGCAAGUCGAACGGCAGCGGGGGCUUCGGCCUGCCGGCGAGUGGCGAACGGGUGAGUAAUGCAUCGGAACGUGCCCAGUCAUGGGGGAUAACUACGCGAAAGCGUAGCUAAUACCGCAUACGCCCUGAGGGGGAAAGCGGGGGAUCGCAAGACCUCGCGUGAUUGGAGCGGCCGAUGUCGGAUUAGCUAGUUGGUGGGGUAAAGGCCUACCAAGGCGACGAUCCGUAGCGGGUCUGAGAGGAUGAUCCGCCACACUGGGACUGAGACACGGCCCAGACUCCUACGGGAGGCAGCAGUGGGGAAUUUUGGACAAUGGGGGCAACCCUGAUCCAGCCAUGCCGCGUGCAGGAUGAAGGCCUUCGGGUUGUAAACUGCUUUUGUACGGAG